RNAcentral lists this long non-coding RNA (589 nucleotides) under Sarcophilus harrisii (Tasmanian devil). RNAcentral describes it as "lncRNA (ENSSHAG00000020495.1)". The record is from RNAcentral. Lineage: Eukaryota; Metazoa; Chordata; Mammalia; Dasyuromorphia; Dasyuridae.
GUUCAACUCUGUCAUUUUUCAGAGAAAGAAACCAAAGCCAAAAAUGAGGAAGAUCUUUACCUUAUCGCGCAUCAUUCUGAGAAUCAAGGAGAAAACCAGGAAUCAACUUAAAUUCUACAAACUUCUCUUCUUUCUACUAUGCCAUGAAUCCAUCAGUCUUGCCAUGAACAUAUAAGAACUGGAUUUAGAUGGAAGAUAUGAAGUAGGAAACUACUGAGAGGGAGAUGAACAAUCAGAGGCUCAAGAUCACAGCCUAUGAACAGACAUACUGAGCAGGAGUUUAACUAGAAGAGGAAGGGUCAGCUGUUGCUAACUUCAUGACAGAAAGUCAUCAUUACCUUUGCUGUCCUCUGUUCUUAAUAUCUCAAAAAUCUUACAGUACAGCCCAAUAAGAUUUCAUCAGAGAAACGCUUGUUUUGGGGAAAUAGGAAUGUAGACACAACAGAGAGCCUCCCUAGAGCAGCCUUGCUGGAUCACAGAAUGGAAGAGUUGAAAUAGACCUCAGAGACCAUGUAAUCCAACCCAGGUGGCCGCCUGCUGUUUCCUGGGCCCGCGCUUCCUGGCCACAGCGCUGACGCUGUGGCUACUG